GCAGGCCUAAUACAUGCAAGUCGAGCGCGCCCUUCGGGGUGAGCGGCGGACGGGUGCGUAACACGUAGGAAUCUACCUAGUAGUGGGGGAUAGCCCGGGGAAACUCGGAUUAAUACCGCAUACGCCCUACGGGGGAAAGGCCGGGAUCUUCGGACCGGUCGCUAUUGGAUGAGCCUGCGUUGGAUUAGCUAGUUGGUAGGGUAAAGGCCUACCAAGGCGACGAUCUUUAGCUGUUCUGAGAGGAUGAUC
Molecule: ribosomal RNA, 249 nt
Filed under: uncultured bacterium
Lineage: Bacteria
Description: partial 16S ribosomal RNA
Rfam family: Bacterial small subunit ribosomal RNA
Source: RNAcentral